This 896-nucleotide ribosomal RNA is filed under the name Bacillus subtilis. RNAcentral's name for it is "bacterial SSU rRNA". It matches the Rfam family "Bacterial small subunit ribosomal RNA", at positions 405 to 1293 of the family's 1533-position model. The record is from RNAcentral. Lineage: Bacteria; Bacillati; Bacillota; Bacilli; Caryophanales; Bacillaceae.
GUGAUGAAGGUUUUCGGAUCGUAAAGCUCUGUUGUUAGGGAAGAACAAGUACCGUUCGAAUAGGGCGGUACCUUGACGGUACCUAACCAGAAAGCCACGGCUAACUACGUGCCAGCAGCCGCGGUAAUACGUAGGUGGCAAGCGUUGUCCGGAAUUAUUGGGCGUAAAGGGCUCGCAGGCGGUUUCUUAAGUCUGAUGUGAAAGCCCCCGGCUCAACCGGGGAGGGUCAUUGGAAACUGGGGAACUUGAGUGCAGAAGAGGAGAGUGGAAUUCCACGUGUAGCGGUGAAAUGCGUAGAGAUGUGGAGGAACACCAGUGGCGAAGGCGACUCUCUGGUCUGUAACUGACGCUGAGGAGCGAAAGCGUGGGGAGCGAACAGGAUUAGAUACCCUGGUAGUCCACGCCGUAAACGAUGAGUGCUAAGUGUUAGGGGGUUUCCGCCCCUUAGUGCUGCAGCUAACGCAUUAAGCACUCCGCCUGGGGAGUACGGUCGCAAGACUGAAACUCAAAGGAAUUGACGGGGGCCCGCACAAGCGGUGGAGCAUGUGGUUUAAUUCGAAGCAACGCGAAGAACCUUACCAGGUCUUGACAUCCUCUGACAAUCCUAGAGAUAGGACGUCCCCUUCGGGGGCAGAGUGACAGGUGGUGCAUGGUUGUCGUCAGCUCGUGUCGUGAGAUGUUGGGUUAAGUCCCGCAACGAGCGCAACCCUUGAUCUUAGUUGCCAGCAUUCAGUUGGGCACUCUAAGGUGACUGCCGGUGACAAACCGGAGGAAGGUGGGGAUGACGUCAAAUCAUCAUGCCCCUUAUGACCUGGGCUACACACGUGCUACAAUGGACAGAACAAAGGGCAGCGAAACCGCGAGGUUAAGCCAAUCCCACAAAUCUGUUCUCAGUU